AAAGUUCAACAGACAAUCGCAGCUGACAGUUAGUCAGGUGAGGAAAGUCCGAGCUCCAUAGGGCAGGAUGCUGGAUAACGUCCAGUGGAGGUGACUCCAAGGCAAGUGCCACAGAAAGAAACCGCCGAUUUAUCGGUAAGGGUGCAAUGGUGCGGUAAGAGCGCACCAGCAAUGAGGUGACUCAUUGGCUAGGUAAACCCCAUCUGGAGCAAGACCAAAUAGGGAAGGUAUGAGGCGGCCCGCUGACCUUCCGGGUAGUGUCGCUUGAAGGGUAGAGCAAUCUAUCUUCUAGAUAAAUGAUUGUCGCUGUAUUUUACAGAACAAAACUCGGCUUACGAUGAACUUUUUCA
Molecule: RNase P RNA, 350 nt
Filed under: Negativicutes bacterium
Lineage: Bacteria; Bacillati; Bacillota; Negativicutes
Description: RNase P RNA component class A
Rfam family: Bacterial RNase P class A
About the family: Ribonuclease P (RNase P) is a ubiquitous endoribonuclease, found in archaea, bacteria and eukarya as well as chloroplasts and mitochondria.
Source: RNAcentral